Long non-coding RNA from Parus major (Great Tit), 1219 nucleotides. RefSeq lists it as uncharacterized. NCBI's taxonomy places the organism in Eukaryota, Metazoa, Chordata, Aves, Passeriformes, Paridae. The transcript is spliced from 3 exons. The record is from RefSeq and is a predicted model, not a curated record.
UCUGUGUCCUGUCAUAGCAGCCUGUAGAAGAGGACGAGGAUGAGGAUUUCUCCCUGCCAUGGCUCCAGAGCCCAGCAGAGGCUCAUGUUCUCCCCAUUACCCUACUCCAUGUCCCCAUCCCAGGUGUGGUGAUGGCAGAAGGUGGGAGGCUGUGCUGUGGUUGCUGAAUCCCAGGGACUCGUGGAUCCCAGCUGCUGUCUGGGAAGGACUUCCCAGCCAAGCGGGAGCCCCGCAUUCUCCUGCACCCCCAGCCCCUUCAGCUGCUGAGGAAUUCAGAUGAGGACACAGCUCCGUACGAGGGGAAACUGAGGCACGGAGGAGGCUGGGACCUGCGGGUGCCACCCGACCCUCCUCUCGCAGCUGCAGAGAUGCUGCCACGUGUUCUGUGCCCUUGGCUUCUGCUUGGAGCAUCUUUUUGGAGGAGCUGUAAACUCUAGGUACCAAAGAGAAGGGAAGGAUAAAACAGCCGUAAAAAUCAGCCUGAUUGAAUGAUUUAUCCCGGCUCCCUCCGCACUCCCAAACUCUUCCCUUGACUCACAGCCUCCUUCCCCAGAUCCUGGCUUGUAUUUGGCCCCAGGGGUUAAAUUUUCAGGUGGAAAUUUAAAUAUAAUUUUUCAGGCGCAGCCAAAACGGAGCCCCAGGUCUCUGCGAAGGCUUUUCAAUCCCCUGUCCCAAACACGAUCUCCCCCCGUUCCCCCCCAGCCCUGGGGACCCCCGUGUGGCCGCAUUCCUCCUCGGUCCCUUUCUCAGCGGGGACUCAGCCGAGGUCGAGCCCUGCAGCGGGGACGAUCCCGGCUUCAGAAGAAGCUGCAUUGUUUCUUGGAGGGGUUGAUUUCUCCUGCUGUUUGUCUCUGCGCCUCCUCCGGGCUCUCUUUGGCCGUGCCAGUUUUGUUGGAUGCCCGAAGCUCCUCCCGGGUGGCAGCGGUUGAUCCCGAGCCGGACAAUGGGACGUGCUGCUGUCCUGGCUUUACUGGGAUAAAAUAUCCCCCUCCCUGCGCCGGGGGAUGCUGCGGGGGAGGGGAUGGGGACGGACAGACGGACGCUGUCUGGGUGGAUUCCCUCCAAAGGCUGAUCUGGGUGGGCGUUUCCACUGGAAGAUGCCCCGGGAGGUCGCUGAAUGGCCGGGUUGGAGGAGCUGGGGGAUGCCCCUGGGGGGGUUCCGGGGGGAUCCUGAAGCUCUAAAGGAUCUCGGAUAGCGAGUAAAGUCCUGUUUGCUGAG